Molecule: transfer RNA, 73 nt
Filed under: Oryctolagus cuniculus (rabbit)
Lineage: Eukaryota; Metazoa; Chordata; Mammalia; Lagomorpha; Leporidae
Description: tRNA-Thr (CGT) (tRNA-Thr-CGT-5-1)
Rfam family: tRNA
About the family: Transfer RNA (tRNA) molecules are approximately 80 nucleotides in length. Their secondary structure includes four short double-helical elements and three loops (D, anti-codon, and T loops).
Source: Rfam by way of RNAcentral
GGCCUUGUAGCUCAGGGGUUAGAGCACUGGUCUCGUAAACCAGGGGUCGUGAGUUCAAUUCUCACCUGGGCCU